AUGAACGCUAGCGGCAGGCCUAAUACAUGCAAGUCGAACGGGUGUAGCAAUACACUAGUGGCGCACGGGUGCGUAACGCGUAACCAACCUGCCCUGAACUGGGGGAUAGCCCGCCGAAAGGCGGAUUAAUACCGCAUAAACCAACAGUGUGGCAUCACAUAAUUGGUAAAGAUUUAUUGGUUCAGGAUGGGGUUGCGUAGCAUUAGCUAGUUGGCGGGGUAACGGCCCACCAAGGCGACGAUGCUUAGGGGACCUGAGAGGGUGAUCCCCCACACUGGCACUGAGAUACGGGCCAGACUCCUACGGGAGGCAGCAGUAGGGAAUAUUGGGCAAUGGGCGAGAGCCUGACCCAGCCAUGCCGCGUGCCGGAUGAAGGCCUUCUGGGUUGUAAACGGCUUUUCUCAGGGAAGAAAAAGACCAUGCGUGGUACACUGACGGUACCUGAGGAAUAAGCACCGGCUAACUCCGU
This 469-nucleotide ribosomal RNA is filed under the name uncultured bacterium. RNAcentral's name for it is "bacterial SSU rRNA". It matches the Rfam family "Bacterial small subunit ribosomal RNA", at positions 29 to 506 of the family's 1533-position model. The record is from RNAcentral.